Long non-coding RNA from Canis lupus familiaris (dog), 773 nucleotides. RefSeq lists it as uncharacterized. NCBI's taxonomy places the organism in Eukaryota, Metazoa, Chordata, Mammalia, Carnivora, Canidae. The record is from RefSeq and is a predicted model, not a curated record. The transcript has 3 exons.
UCCAGUGAUCAUCUUUAAGUUCCUUGUGUACCAGACACAGAUUCCUAAAUGUUAGAUAAGAAAAACUUCUACAUGGAUGCUUCUCAACUUUCUUAGUCCUUCAGGCUCUAAUUUAUUCCUGGAGAUGCAUUAUAACUCUUCAGUUUCCAUCAACACUGGGCAUAAACUUCUUGAAAGAAUGUAAUGGCUACCAACAAUGAUCCCAAGGGUGAUUUAAAAAAAGUUGUUUUUUGCCUGGCACAUACUGUGAAAACCUAUCCGUGAAUAACUGAAGAUAUUCCUGGCAGUUGCCUUUCACAGGAUACAACAUUUAAAAGUGACAUCUUACUCCGAGACAUCUUACUAUGAUAUGGACAAUUUUUGCGCUUGUUGAUGUUUGGCACCUAGCACCGAAAAGAGUAUAUCUGAAAACUGUGCAACACUAUUCUCACUAACCAUAAUCUGGAGAAUCUUGCAGAGCAGUAGCACCCCGUGAAGGCGAAGCUACUGCAUCAGGUCCUGCUUCCUGAAACCCUGGACUUCCUCAUUUAAACUGAAAGCAGCUUUUGAGACCAAUCUCUGUUUUCAUAAACAAGUAGUUUAAGUUAAAUUUCAGAAGGUCAGUUUCCACUUUUUUGAAAGCUUCUAUGAUAUACAUACUAGAUGUAGUAUCUAUGGCUUCUAUGCCACUCAAAAGCACUUUGAAUUUUUUCACUUUUUGAUUCCUGAUUUUUGUUCUUGUGGAUGCUGAGUAGUAGAGCAAACACAAACUCAAAAUAUCUUUAUACUCACAA